GCUCGCUGCCCUGGCUUCCUCUUUAGCCUUGCGCAGCCUCCCGCGGCUGGAGAGGCGCGCAAGGCUAAAGAGGAAGCCAGGGCAGCAAGC
Molecule: microRNA precursor, 90 nt
Filed under: Podarcis lilfordi (Lilford's wall lizard)
Lineage: Eukaryota; Metazoa; Chordata; Lepidosauria; Squamata; Lacertidae
Source: RNAcentral